GAUGAACGCUGGCGGCGUGCCUAAUACAUGCAAGUCGAGCGAACAGACGAGGAGCUUGCUCCUCUGACGUUAGCGGCGGACGGGUGAGUAACACGUGGAUAACCUACCUAUAAGACUGGGAUAACUUCGGGAAACCGGAGCUAAUACCGGAUAAUAUAUUGAACCGCAUGGUUCAAUAGUGAAAGACGGUUUUGCUGUCACUUAUAGAUGGAUCCGCGCCGCAUUAGCUAGUUGGUAAGGUAACGGCUUACCAAGGCGACGAUGCGUAGCCGACCUGAGAGGGGGAGCGGCACACCUGGAACUGAAACCGGGGCAAGACCCCCAGGGGGGGCAGCAGGAGGGAAUUCUCCGCAAGGGGCGAAAGCCUGAGGGAACAACGCCGGGGGGGUGAAGAAGGUUUUCGGAUCGUAAACCUUUUUUAUUAGGAAAAAAAAAAUGGGAAAGUAACUAUGCACCUCUUGACGGUACCUAAUCAAAAAGCCCCGGCAAACUGCGG
RNAcentral lists this ribosomal RNA (496 nucleotides) under uncultured bacterium. RNAcentral's name for it is "partial 16S ribosomal RNA". It matches the Rfam family "Bacterial small subunit ribosomal RNA", at positions 28 to 506 of the family's 1533-position model. The record is from RNAcentral.